RNAcentral lists this ribosomal RNA (101 nucleotides) under Fukomys damarensis (Damara mole-rat). The record is from RNAcentral. Lineage: Eukaryota; Metazoa; Chordata; Mammalia; Rodentia; Bathyergidae.
GUCUAUGGCCAUACCACCCUGAAUGCUCCUGUUCUCAUCUGAUCACAGAAGAAUCAUAGCUGGGAAAAAGAGUGGUUAAAGUAUGUUUAAAGAAAUAAACU